GUGAUGUCACGUUUGAGAGUAGCUCCAGAAAGAAGAAGGAAUCUAAGUGUAUUUGACGAUUUAUUUUGUUUCUGUAAGAGUUUUGUUUACCCUUCUGUCUAUGUCGAUAGACUAUGGUUUUGUUCAGCGUUUUAGUUUUGAAUUACUCUCGAGAAUCGCGGAAGAAAAGUGAAGUUUUGAGCAGCACGCGUCCAGCGCGUGAUCAAGGAAAAUAGAUGGCGAGCCACCAGAGCUAGGAGCUACGACUGGACUGGGUGUUUGUGCGUCGAAAGAAACGGGGAGAGUGGACAUCGCAGUGAAGGCCGGGUGCUUCAGCCUUUCCCUUCCUUCCCUGCCGAGGAUCCAUCACCAACCGUGCUUUGUACACUGUUUGGAGGACUGUGGCCCCGACGAUGACGACCACUAGAGCCGUCAGGAUGGAGGGACCCGAAUACCCAGCGGCGACGAACCUUGGCGAAGACGGCAAGGAGAGUGUGGAGGGGGCGGAGCGCAAAGCCCGAGCUCCCCCAAGAGAUGCGAGUCAUGCGACUGGCGGCGGGAGGAGGAGAACGAGGACGAUGGUACCGGCCACGAGAAGCACCAGGGCACGGAGUGAGUCCCGAGCUGCAGCCUGGGGGUGGUGAUGAGGAGAUGGAGCAGCGAGCUCUCAUUCCCUCUCGGCUCAGUGCUCACACUUUAAUGACAGCCAGUUGAUGCUGAUGUGGCUGGCAGCAGAGCGCAUUUUUAAAUAGCUGAGAGGGAGCAGAGAGACGAGCAGCAGUAGAGGACUGACGAGCUGAUAAGCUUAAUGAAGAGAAGGACUGAAAAGUCUACCUGAAGCCAUUGAAAAGUGGCUAGCAUAGUUUUUUUCAUUGGUUCUGUUUGCUUUGUUUAUUUGGUGGGUGUGAAUUAAAAUAUGACUGCUGCAAAGGUGAA
Molecule: long non-coding RNA, 915 nt
Organism: Pygocentrus nattereri (red-bellied piranha)
Lineage: Eukaryota; Metazoa; Chordata; Actinopteri; Characiformes; Serrasalmidae
Exons: 2
Source: RefSeq, a predicted model, not a curated record